RNAcentral lists this ribosomal RNA (497 nucleotides) under uncultured bacterium. RNAcentral describes it as "partial 16S ribosomal RNA". It matches the Rfam family "Bacterial small subunit ribosomal RNA", at positions 28 to 507 of the family's 1533-position model. The record is from RNAcentral.
GAUGAACGCUGGCGGCGUGCCUAAUACAUGCAAGUCGAGCGAACAGACGAGGAGCUUGCUCCUCUGACGUUAGCGGCGGACGGGUGAGUAACACGUGGAUAACCUACCUAUAAGACUGGGAUAACUUCGGGAAACCGGAGCUAAUACCGGAUAAUAUAUUUAACCGCAUGGUUCAAUAGUGAAAGACGGUUUUGCUGUCACUUAUAGAUGGAUCCGCGCCGCAUUAGCUAGUUGGUAAGGUAACGGCUUACCAAGGCAACGAUGCGUAGCCGACCUGAGAGGGUGAUCGGCCACCCUGGAACUGAGACACGGUCCAGACGCCUACGGGAGGCAGCAGUAGGGAAUCUUCCGCAAUGGGCGAAAGCCUGACGGAGCAACGCCGCGUGAGUGAUGAAGGUCUUCGGAUCGUAAAACUCUGUUAUGAGGGAAGAACAAAUGUGUAAGUAACUAUGCACGGCUUGACGGUACCUAAUCAGAAAGCCACGGCUAACUACGUG